Molecule: long non-coding RNA, 96 nt
Organism: Thalassophryne amazonica
Lineage: Eukaryota; Metazoa; Chordata; Actinopteri; Batrachoidiformes; Batrachoididae
Exons: 3
Source: RefSeq, a predicted model, not a curated record
UGUAAUUUACACUUGAGAGAAAUCUCAUGAUUGCUUUUAAAAUGAAUGCUUCACUGAUGUGGGCUGCAUUGAAACAUGAAUCACGACAUCCUGUAG